GAUUUCUGGUUUGAUGCGCUUAGCCCGCCACGAUUUCGUGUGUGAGUGCUGGGUCGUGUCUGCCAUCCUUCUAGAUCAUAACUUCCCUCCUCUUUACUGAGGCGGGGAAGAUUAUUCUAGAUCUUUUACUUUGAAAAAAUUAGAGUGUUUAAAGCAGGCGUUUGCUAUGAAUACAUUAGCAUGGAAUAAUAAUUUAGGACUUUGGUUCUAUUUUGUUGGUUUCUAGGACUGAAGUAAUGAUUGAUAGGGAUAGUUGGGGGUGCUAGUAUUCAGUGGCCAGAGGUGAAAUUCUUGGAUUCACUGAAGACUAACUUAUGCGAAAGCAUU
This 327-nucleotide ribosomal RNA is filed under the name uncultured Sandonidae. RNAcentral's name for it is "bacterial SSU rRNA". The stretch from base 60 to 327 matches the Rfam family "Eukaryotic small subunit ribosomal RNA", at positions 686 to 955 of the family's 1831-position model. The record is from RNAcentral. Lineage: Eukaryota; Cercozoa; Glissomonadida; Viridiraptoridae.